RNAcentral lists this ribosomal RNA (496 nucleotides) under uncultured bacterium. RNAcentral's name for it is "partial 16S ribosomal RNA". It matches the Rfam family "Bacterial small subunit ribosomal RNA", at positions 29 to 507 of the family's 1533-position model. The record is from RNAcentral.
AUGAACGCUGGCGGCGUGCCUAAUACCUGCAAGUCGAGCGAACAGACGAGGAGCUUGCUCCUCUGACGUUAGCGGCGGACGGGUGAGUAACACGUGGAUAACCUACCUAUAAGACUGGGAUAACUUCGGGAAACCGGAGCUAAUACCGGAUAAUAUAUUGAACCGCAUGGUUCAAUAGUGAAAGACGGUUUUGCUGUCACUUAUAGAUGGAUCCGCGCCGCAUUAGCUAGUCGGUAAGGUAACGGCUUACCAAGGCGACGAUGCGUAGCCGACCUGAGAGGGUGAUCGGCCACACUGGAACUGAGACACGGUCCAGACUCCUACGGGAGGCAGCAGUAGGGAAUCUUCCGCAAUGGGCGAAAGCCUGACGGAGCAACGCCGCGUGAGUGAUGAAGGUCUUCGGAUCGUAAAACUCUGUUAUUAGGGAAGAACAAAUGUGUAAGUAACUAUGCACGUCUUGACGGUACCUAAUCAGAAAGCCACGGCUAACUACGUG